RNAcentral lists this long non-coding RNA (471 nucleotides) under Pogona vitticeps (central bearded dragon). RNAcentral describes it as "lncRNA (ENSPVIG00000024947.1)". Lineage: Eukaryota; Metazoa; Chordata; Lepidosauria; Squamata; Agamidae. The record is from RNAcentral.
CUCCGCCGGCCGGCCGGUUCCCCCGCUGCCGGUACUCACUCACCCGGCUGCCCAGGCUCAUGGGGGAGAACGACGACGGCGGCGGCGAGGAGGAGGAGGAGGAGGAAGGCGAAAGCCUCGGCCUCGCCUCCUUCGCCUCCUGAGGGAAUGGCGAGGAAGAAGCGGGGAAACCGACGCGCCGACUCGGCCCGGCCUGGGCGCCCGCGGAAGAUUCUCUCGGCCCGGCCGCGGCCACGGCCAUGACUGGAAUCUUCACCAGUGCUUCCUCAAACUGCAAUCCUGUGAAUGUCUAUUCUGAACUGACUUUGAAAAUACUCUCGGCUAAAUAAGACUACCAGACUCAUCCAGGGGUGAAGAAAGAGGUUUGUCAAGAAAGAAACAGGUCAGUGACACAGAAAGAGACAAGGUAUAUAUGUAUAUUAACUAAAAUUACCAUGUAACUAAACAAUAAAAUGUGGAGUGGUGAUGCCA